This 497-nucleotide ribosomal RNA is filed under the name uncultured bacterium. Its description in RNAcentral is "partial 16S ribosomal RNA". It matches the Rfam family "Bacterial small subunit ribosomal RNA", at positions 28 to 507 of the family's 1533-position model. The record is from RNAcentral.
GAUGAACGCUGGCGGCGUGCCUAAUACAUGCAAGUCGAGCGAACAGAUGAGGAGCUUGCUCCUCUGACGUUAGCGGCGGACGGGUGAGUAACACGUGGAUAACCUACCUAUAAGACUGGGAUAACUUCGGGAAACCAGAGCUAAUACCGGAUAAUAUAUUGAACCGCAUGGUUCAAUAGUGAAAGACGGUUUUGCUGUCACUUAUAGAUGGAUCCGCGCCGCAUUAGCUAGUUGGUAAGGUAACGGCUUACCAAGGCAACGAUGCGUAGCCGACCUGAGAGGGUGAUCGGCCACACUGGAACUGAGACACGGUCCAGACUCCUACGGGAGGCAGCAGUAGGGAAUCUUCCGCAAUGGGCGAAAGCUUGACGGAGCAACGCCGCGUGAGUGAUGAAGGUCUUCGGAUCGUAAAACUCUGUUAUUAGGGAAGAACAAAUGUGUAAGUAACUAUGCACGUCUUGACGGUACCUAAUCAGAAAGCCACGGCUAACUACGUG